Molecule: ribosomal RNA, 481 nt
Filed under: uncultured bacterium
Lineage: Bacteria
Description: partial 16S ribosomal RNA
Rfam family: Bacterial small subunit ribosomal RNA
Source: RNAcentral
AUUGAACGCUGGCGGCAUGCUUUACACAUGCAAGUCGAACGGUAACAGGCCGCAAGGUGCUGACGAGUGGCGAACGGGUGAGUAAUGCAUCGGAACGUGCCCAGUCGUGGGGGAUAACUACUCGAAAGAGUAGCUAAUACCGCAUACGAUCUAUGGAUGAAAGCGGGGGACCGAAGGCCUCGCACGAUUUGAGCGGGCGAUGUCAGAUUAGGUAGUUGGUGGGGUAAAGGCUCACCAAGCCAACGAUCUGUAGCUGGUCUGAGAGGACGACCAGCCACACUGGGACUGAGACACGGCCCAGACUCCUACGGGAGGCAGCAGUGGGGAAUUUUGGACAAUGGGCGCAAGCCUGAUCCAGCAAUGCCGCGUGCAGGAAGAAGGCCUUCGGGUUGUAAACUGCUUUUGUACGGAACGAAACGGCUCUGGUUAAUACCCGGGGCUAAUGACGGUACCGUAAGAAUAAGCACCGGCUAACUACGUG